Long non-coding RNA from Sinocyclocheilus grahami, 1845 nucleotides. RefSeq lists it as uncharacterized. The transcript is spliced from 4 exons. The record is from RefSeq and is a predicted model, not a curated record. Lineage: Eukaryota; Metazoa; Chordata; Actinopteri; Cypriniformes; Cyprinidae.
GGGAAUGAGUCCAGCAUUUAUCUGCGUCUGGCCCGCUCCACUCUUCUCCUCAUUCCUCUAUUUGGAAUUCACUAUACCGUGUUUGCUUUCACACCAGAAGAUGUCAGCAAAAGAGAAAGACUUGUGUUUGAACUUGGUCUUGGUUCUUUUCAGGGUUUUGUAGUAGCUGUUCUUUACUGCUUUCUUAAUGGAGAGGUGCAGUCAGAAAUCAAACGAAAAUGGCGCAGCUGGACGGUGAACCGGUACUUUGCGGGGGAUAUAAAGCGCAGGCAUCCGUCCCUGGCCAGCAGUGGUGUGAAUGGGGGCACACAGCUCUCCAUCCUCAGCAAGAGCAGCUCACAGAUCCGCAUGUCCAGCCUGCAGGCUGAAACACCGGCCACAUGAGCGCUCAGAGGAACAGACAGAAGGCCAAACUCCUCAGAACUAGAGCGACAAAAUAAUCUACGUCAACAUCUGAGUCCUGUUUCAUCUUUUGAGUCUGUAUUGUGUCGGUUGAAGCUGUAAUAUCUGUCAACCGUCCAUAAAUGACAGGCUUUUGCUAUGGAACUCUGAGGAGCUCACAACCAUUGGUCUAUUUUGUGCCAAGCAAACAUGGAUACUUUGAUGUGGACUUGUGGAUGAAUCAGAAUUGAUCUGAACUGAAAGGAAUUACAGGCCAAGGGGAAAUAAGGAAUCCAUAGCAUAUCUAGUAUUUAGGAUGUUUUCAUCCAGAAAGCUGAAGGUCGUGAAUAAGUUGGAUAUUUUUGUACAUAUCAACAUCACACGAGUCUCUCAUAAUCUCGUUUCUCUGUCUGUGAAGAUUUGUGACAGUUCGAGAUUCUCAAUAUUUUAUUGUCAAAGCAUCAUCGAAGAAGAUGAAGACAGUAGCCGACCUCACCGCAAUGGGAUGUGGGACAUGCACAGUCAUUUUUGAAGGAGAAGAAACCACAUAUUUCACACAGGAGCUUAAUGAAUAACUGAUCCCCAGUUCCUAAUACCAAUUUAAUAUGUAAAUAUUUUCAUAUGUUGUAAUUGUAGAAUGAAGGACUGAAGGAAAAUCAAGUUUAAGGACUACGAAGUUUAAGGAUCCACAUUGUGGAUGCUUCUUGGGCGCAGUGUUGAAAUUUUUUACCCAGUCAAAACUAACAUUAGCAAAGAAAAACUAGCAUUUGAAACCUCAUUAAAACAGUGAGUAACUUAACUUGUCAAUUUGUUUUCAUGAGUAGAUUCCUCUUGUACUUGUACUUGUGCUCCUAUUUUUUUAAACAGCCGCUAGUACAGAAAAUGUCAGUUAGAAUGCAACAAUGGAACAAAGUUCAUGCCGCAAUGUUUGGCAUAUUAAUAUAUAACUGGGUAAUAUGGGUGUAAUAGAUUUGUAAUAUGCAUGUUGAUUCCUCCCCCACACACUUCUAUGACUACUAGCUGUCAUACAGUUAAUUUACAGCAAAGAAUUAUGAAACUUUACACUCAUAUCAAUAAAUAAAUUCUUUAUAAGCAAUUUUUUUCUGUUUAAAGGCUGAGCAUUUUCUUGUAGCUCUUCUGACUCAUAAUAUUUGAUCUUUUGCUCAUUUUGUAAUUUAAUGUCAUAAAAGCAUUUACAAAUAGAGCACUUUUAAGAUUCCAAAGAAGAUUUUUUUGAGUAUUUGACCUCUUAAGACGUCAUUUGCCGUACAAGUUUGCAAGUCUUUGCAACUGAUGUCACUGCAUACGAAGAUGUUUUUUGCUUCUUCAAAGUGCCUUUUUUGCACAAAAGAGACAACUGUUUGGUUUGACAAAGACAAACUGCAACACAUAACUGCAUCCCUCUGUGAAAGUGCUUUUAUUAUGCUUCAGCAAACCAAGAGGCCUUCAGAGAAAUCAAGCUAG